AUUGAACGCUGGCGGCAUGCCUAACACAUGCAAGUCGAACGCGUGGCGGACGUGUGUGUAACGUCUGGGACACAGCUUUAUGGCUGGGGAUAACUACUGAAAACGGUAGCUAAUACCGCUUACCAUCCGAUUUUCCCUGAUGGGAUUAGCGUGUGGGUGGGGUAACGGCUCACCAAGGCGACGAUCCCUAGCGGGUCUGAGAGGAUGACCAGCCACACGGGAACUGAGACACGGUCCAGACUCCUACGGGAGGCAGCAGUGGGGAAUAUUGCACAAUGGGCGAAAGCCUGAUGGAGCCAUGCCGCGUGUAUGAAGAAGGCCUUCGGGUUGUAAAGUACUGUCAGCGGGGAGGCGUUACCCACAGAGGAAGCACCGGCUAACUCCGUGCCAGCAGCCGCGGUAAUAC
This 406-nucleotide ribosomal RNA is filed under the name uncultured bacterium. Its description in RNAcentral is "partial 16S ribosomal RNA". It matches the Rfam family "Bacterial small subunit ribosomal RNA", at positions 30 to 526 of the family's 1533-position model. The record is from RNAcentral.